Molecule: ribosomal RNA, 258 nt
Filed under: uncultured Staphylococcus sp.
Lineage: Bacteria; Bacillati; Bacillota; Bacilli; Caryophanales; Staphylococcaceae
Description: partial 16S ribosomal RNA
Rfam family: Bacterial small subunit ribosomal RNA
Source: RNAcentral
CGGGUGAGUAACACGUGGAUAACCUACCUAUAAGACUGGGAUAACUUCGGAAACCGGAGCUAAUACCGGAUAAUAUAUUGAACCGCAUGGUUCAAUAGUGAAAGACGGUUUUGCUGUCACUUAUAGAUGGAUCCGCGCUGCAUUAGCUAGUUGGUAAGGUAACGGCUUACCAAGGCAACGAUGCGUAGCCGACCUGAGAGGGUGAUCGGCCACACUGGAACUGAGACACGGUCCAGACUCCUACGGGAGGCAGCAGGC